RNAcentral lists this ribosomal RNA (406 nucleotides) under uncultured bacterium. RNAcentral describes it as "partial 16S ribosomal RNA". It matches the Rfam family "Bacterial small subunit ribosomal RNA", at positions 29 to 526 of the family's 1533-position model. The record is from RNAcentral.
AUUGAACGCUGGCGGCAGGCUUAACACAUGCAAGUCGAGCGAGCGGCGGACGGGUGAGUAAUGUCUGGGAACCUGCCUGAUGGCGGGGGCUAACUACUGGAAACGGUAGCUAAUACCGCAUACCAUCAGAUGUGCCCAGAUGGGAUUAGCUAGUAGGUGGGGUAAUGGCGCACCUAGGCGACGAUCCCUAGCUGGUGUUAGAGGGUGACCAGCCACACUGGGACGGAGACACGGGCCAGACGCCUACGGGAGGCAGCAGUGGGGAAUAUGGCACAAUGGGCGCAAGCCUGAUGCAGCCAGGCCGCGUGUGUGAAGAAGGCCUUCGGGUGGUAAAGCACUUUCAGCGAGGAAGCGUUACUCGCAGAAGAAGCACCGGCUAACUCCGUGCCAGCAGCCGCGGUAAUUC